Salvia hispanica is the source of this 585-nucleotide non-coding RNA. NCBI's taxonomy places the organism in Eukaryota, Viridiplantae, Streptophyta, Magnoliopsida, Lamiales, Lamiaceae. The record is from RefSeq and is a predicted model, not a curated record.
AUCUCACUCCAAUCGAUUCAUCAUCAACUGAAAUCGAUUCAACAACUUCAUAUCAGUAAUCGAUUCAACAUCUUCAUGACAGUUGAAAUCGAUUGUACCAACGAUUCAGCAUCUCGAGUCGCCGAGUUCAACAUCUACAGCCAACGAGUUCAAAUCCGAUGACGAUUCAAAAAUGACUCAAACACUCAACUCUACUGCAUCAGUUUAUCAAGUAGAGCCGAGGAAGGUCAACAUAAGCUUCAAAUAUACUCAUAGGCCGAUGGACAAAUCACAACUGGUCGAGAAAGCAAAUCCUGAGGAAAGUUUCUCUACUGGUCGGUCGGAAGCAAAUAUUGCAAGUCAAAUCCCUCCACCAAAAGGUGAAGAAAACAGUGGGGUCCUCUAACUCACAGUUGGGUGAGAAAUCAAAUUUGAGGAGCGAGAUAAAGAGUUUCGGGAGAUGUAGUUGAGUCAUGGUAACAUGCUGAUGAGGACAUUUGUGCAGUCCGUUCCCACGCCUAACAAAUGGGUGGUGCCCAGAAUCACGGCUCAGCCGAUUGAGAUGUGCUUGUGUGUCAAUUUUGGAUGAUUUCUUGUAUUGGACAA